CCCUUAGAUGUUCUGGGCUGCACGCGUGCUACACUGAUUAUUUCAACAAGUGUUUUAACUGGAGAGUUCGCGUAAUCCUGAAAUGUUAUCGUGAUGGGAGUAGAGUAUUGUAUUUGUUAAUCUUUAACGAGGAAUUCCUAGUAAGUGUAGGUUUAUAAGUUGUUCUGAUUACGUCCCUGCCCUUUGUACACACCGCCCGUCACUCCUACCGAUUGAUUGAUCCGGUGAAUUACAUAGAAUUUUGCGUUUUACAUGACGGAAGACGAAGUGUUUUAAACCUUAUCAUUUAGAGGAAGGAGAAGUCGUAACA
This 310-nucleotide ribosomal RNA is filed under the name uncultured eukaryote. RNAcentral's name for it is "partial 18S ribosomal RNA". It matches the Rfam family "Eukaryotic small subunit ribosomal RNA", at positions 1470 to 1796 of the family's 1831-position model. The record is from RNAcentral.